GGGGGUAUAGCUCAGCUGGGAGAGCAGCAGACUGAAGUGUCGUCUAGAGUCACACAUCAUUCUGAAGGUCCCGCGUUCGAUCCGCGGUACCCCCA
Molecule: non-coding RNA, 95 nt
Organism: Stygiomarasmius scandens
Lineage: Eukaryota; Fungi; Basidiomycota; Agaricomycetes; Agaricales; Campanellaceae
Source: the annotation of a GenBank genome assembly